This 253-nucleotide ribosomal RNA is filed under the name uncultured bacterium. RNAcentral describes it as "partial 16S ribosomal RNA". It matches the Rfam family "Bacterial small subunit ribosomal RNA", at positions 524 to 776 of the family's 1533-position model. The record is from RNAcentral.
UACGAAGGGGACUAGCGUUGUUCGGAAUCACUGGGCGUAAAGCGCACGUAGGCGGAUUCGUAAGUCAGGGGUGAAAUCCCGGGGCUCAACCUCGGAACUGCCUUUGAUACUGCGGGUCUUGAGUCCGAUAGAGGUGGGUGGAACUCCUAGUGUAGAGGUGAAAUUCGUAGAUAUCGGUAGGAACACCAGUGGCGAAGGCGGUCUCCUGGGGCAUUCUUGACGCUGAGGCGCGAAAGCUGGGGGAGCGAACGGG